ACACUGCUACAAUAAAAUAUUUCAAAAACACCUACCAAAAACAGCUAAUCCAAACGGAGCCCUUGCCAUUUGAGCCCAAUGGGUACCCAAGUAUUUCCCAUCCUUUCCCAUUCAUUAAUGGGUAUAGGUGGGAUGUGUCCCAACUUAAACCCAAUACCAAAUUAUAAUACCCAUCCCGCCCAAACUUCCUUUGGGCAUGGGUAGCCCAUUGGGACUUGGGACAAAUUGUCAGCUCUACCUCUUUCCAAGUGUGAGGGACAAAAAUUAUACGCUUAGUAGCUGGAGGGUUAAAAAUCUACCUACUUAAUAAUUUGAGGGCCAUCCAGAUUUUUUUGGCCCGUAUAUGUGUGUUUAUACAUGGGAGCCGGGCAUAUCUCCAUUCUUCGCCCCCGACAAGAAGGCUUGUGAGUUGUAUGAAUCGUGAUCAUCCCUUGUCAAUCCAGCAAGUGAUCACCGCAUAAUCAAUUUAGCCAUCACGCAUGAGUAACUAUAAUCAACCAGUAGUUGCAUAUCCUCCACCACCACCACCAUCCCCAACAGUAAAAGCAGCAACGGAUCAGGGAAUGGCCGGAUACUCCUCAAACGUGAUGGCACCUCCCCCGAUUGGUUAUCCGGCCACAAGAGACGGACAAGGCCAUGAUGGCCAUGAGCUUCAUACUGCUACUACAUCCAGUAGAGGCGAAGGGUUUUGGAAAGGAUGGUAAAAGUUCAUUUUCUUCGACUACAGCGUUCCUUCCUUCUUUCCCUAUAUUGGUAUACUACUACUAUGCAGUACCAAAAGCAAAUACUAUAUACUAGUAGUAUUUUCGUUGUAUGUAUGGGGUAGUACCAUACCAACCAAGUGCAUAUAUUAAACUGAUAAGUUAUACCUAUUAUCUGCUGCUGCUGGGUCCUGGAUUUCUGCUUCGGCAGCUAGAAUUCCUGACAAGUGCUCCUAUAUCCCAGCUUCGAUCCCCUCGAAUUUGGAAAUAAAAUAAAAUACAAAUGCUCAUUCUCCUCCCGAA
Non-coding RNA from Coffea arabica (coffee), 1004 nucleotides. The record is from RefSeq and is a predicted model, not a curated record. NCBI's taxonomy places the organism in Eukaryota, Viridiplantae, Streptophyta, Magnoliopsida, Gentianales, Rubiaceae.